This 30-nucleotide non-coding RNA is filed under the name Mus musculus (house mouse). The record is from RNAcentral. Lineage: Eukaryota; Metazoa; Chordata; Mammalia; Rodentia; Muridae.
UACAUAUUUAGAACUGAAUUGGUGCAACAU